This is a long non-coding RNA of Amaranthus tricolor (Joseph's coat), 3373 nucleotides long. RefSeq lists it as uncharacterized. NCBI's taxonomy places the organism in Eukaryota, Viridiplantae, Streptophyta, Magnoliopsida, Caryophyllales, Amaranthaceae. The transcript has 8 exons. The record is from RefSeq and is a predicted model, not a curated record.
GGACCAAGUUUUCACUCACUCCCGUACUCACUCUACUUCCAAGUUUUUUUUGGAAAAGAAAAAAAGUUAUAUUCCAAAAAAACACAAACAAAACUUUGAUAGUUUCACUGCUACUUACCCAUCGCCGAUCGCCGAUCACUGCUACUCGCCUCUCACUCGCCAAUCACCGAUCACCAAUCACCAAUCACCAAUCACCAAUCAUCAAUCACCAAUCACCUUUACCGUUCACUCGCCGGUGGCCUUCAACGCUCUUCUCACUCAUUGUCUCUCACUCACACUUUUCUAGGGUUUCAUAAAAGAGAGAUAUGUCUAGCGAAUCAGAUUCUGAAUAUAAGAAAACGAGUGAACGCAACAAUACUGAUACUGAAGAAUCUGAUGUCAAGCCUAAUAAAAGGAAAAGGAAGGGAAAAUCUAAAAGGAUUGAAGCUAAGAAAAAAGGAACGAAGGUUGCUGGAAACUCUGAAGUGCAAGUGAUCGAAGAUGUUGUUUUGAGACAAGGUGUCGUCCAUAUCAUUUGUACAAUUUAAUCAAUCAAUUUUCUGAAGACCAAAUUAAUUCUGUUAAGGAAAUUGGGUUUGAGGGCUUGCUCCAUUUAAAGGUGACGAACAUAGUUACCAAAAUGCUUUCUUGGUUUGUUAACAAUUUCGACCAAAGCAGUCGUUACUUUGAAAUAAGUCCUGGAGUUAGAUUUGUAUUGACCCCGUACGAUGUGCAUGAUGUUUUUGGUCUUCCUUUGAAUGAGGGAAACAACGUCAUUGAGUGCCGUAUGAAUGUUGAAGAUGACCUUGAUUUUCAUUUUAAAAGGGAGUUAAAGGAUAUCUUUAAUUUGGACAAAGAUAUACCUUUACAAAUGGUAGAAAAGAAAAUAUUGGAAUUGAAAGAAGGGGGUGAGACUUUUAAAAAAUUGUUUGUGCUUCAUGCUUUCUCAAGCUUUUUGGCUCCCCAUCGAAAGAGGUUAGUAGAUAUGAGGUUGGCAAGAGUAGUGUCCAAUGUGGAUCAAAUUAGGACCUAUGAUUGGUGCUCAUAUGUUAUUAACAGAUUAUGUGAAGUUGACAAGGCUUACAAGCAUGGUAACUUGCAAUUUCAUUGUGGUUGUUUUAAUUUUGUUGGAGAUAGUUUAUUUUCACCGUUUAAGGUUUAGAGAUAUUGGGGAACCAACUACUUUGCCCCUAAUUCAACAUUGGACUGACGAAAAAUAAAGGUAAGGAUCAACGGAGAAAAAGAGGCAAAACGUUUUGGACUUGGGAUUCUUGAUACGGUUACUUAUCCUAUAAGCAGAAAGUUGAAAUUUGUUAAUGGAUUUGUUGUUAUUGAUGAUGAGAGUGAAAAAAUUUUAGAUGAAGAUUUGUUUAAUAACAAAGUUUUUCUAAAGUUUGCUGACAAAUUGUGUCAACUUUAUUGGAAAGAUAAGGCUGCUUUGGGCAAUUUUGAUGCAAACUACGAGGCUCAAUUGGGUAAUUUGACAGCUAGGGCCAAUGAAGUUAUUGGUGAUGUUUUGAUUGAUAGAAACGUGACGGAAAAUGCCCAAAAUGAUGAACAAUCUGGACCUUCAAACCCUCCACCAAAUGAUAAUUCAGAACCCCCACUUUCACCACCAGCCGAAGCUUCAAAUGUCCCUCUUUCACCAUCACUAGUAGCACAAUUUGAGGAGGGUGAAAGAGAGGUUUUAGAUUAUGAAGAAUAUGUAGCGUUGGAUGAUGGCAAGUCCCUUAUUUCUUCAAUUCUCACUAGUGGGACAGCUGGGUGCUCAUUACUCGAGGAGUUGAAGUUUUGUUUGUUUCACAUUUCAUGAUCAAUUCAAGAAAGAAAUGAGGAACCUACACAAGCUCCAACAAGAGGUAGUUGAUUACGUGUUGGUGGAGGAUGAUUUAUAUUGUGAUGAUGAUGAAGUAAUGGUUACUUUUGGGCCUAAGCACAGCAUUUCAAGAUACGCGAUCAAGAAUUUGGCCUGUUACAAAAGAAUCAAGUAGUUCCCCCAAUUGUUAUCGAUUGUUGGGCACUAAUUCUUAAUAAUGAACUUAGCAAAUUUAGCAAGCCUCGAAAGUUUUGGUUUGGAGCUUCUCAAUCAACUGAAAUUGUACGUCUUAUGGAGCUCGACAAUGAACCAAAUACCCAGGAUAAUGAUUAUGUACAAUCAGUUUGGCUUGAAUGGAUCAAUGAUGUUAGUUUCGAGAACAUUGAAUUGGUUUUUGUUCCCAUCCUUUACAAUGGACACUUUAUGCUUUAUGUAGUAGAUUUCAAGAACAUUCAAAUAAAGUUUCUUGAUAAUCUUACUUAUGAAUCUACCGAACUCAAGACAAUAAAGAAAUUAUCAAGUAUUGUGGUUGAUCAACUUGAUUACGUUCUUUUAGGUCAAAAUUUAUCUUUGAGUGAAGAAACUGUGGCUUAAAUUUAAGCUUAUUCUGCCAAACUGGAAAUCAAGUAAAGAUGUUGAUAAUGAGUCUGCUAUAUACUUGAUGAUGACAAUGUUGUUUGAUGGAGAAAAAUAUCUUAAAUGUGUUGAACUCACAAAGUUUUAUGUGACGUGAAUGCUCGAAGAAAUGAAAUAUUGGAUCGUUGUAAAGCUUAUAAUACCAAAAGGGAAGAAAGGGAGCAAAUAGUGGCACAACGACGUAAGCAAAGAUUAGCCGAAGAAAUAUCAAGCAAAAUAUUUGGGAGAAGCAUCAAAAGAAGACAAACAUGGAAGCACAACCAAGAAGAAAUGAAAAACGAAAUGUACAAAAGAAACAUUGUUGUUCCGGAAAAUAAAACUCUGGUUAAACACUGUUAUUUCCUAUAGUAGUGUUUGAAAAUUUGAUCUUAAUUCAUGUAAUUUGUUAUUGUGUUUUGAAGGCUAACAUUACCCAAGAAUAUUAUAGGAUCAUAUUAUGUCCUUUUGAGUUUGGAUACUGAAUUAAUUUAUAUUGCACUUGCUAAAGUCAGCUUGCACAAAUUACUCCUAUCCGAAACUACCAGAGCUAAUGGUUUGAGAUGCAACUUGGGCAUGAAUUUCUCUAUUGAUCAAGGAAGCCAAUAGGCACUACUUUGACUACAAUGUUCAAUCUAAAAUUUCUUAGUCCCUGGGCCACAUCACAAUUUUGCAUAUAAAUUUAUUAUCGUCAUUGUUGUAAAAUUUUAAACAAAAAAAUACAAGUUAUUUAUAAUAAAGGGUAACUAUGUUUUACAAAAGGAAAAAUUUGUAUAUAAUAAAGGGUAACUAAGUUUUACAAAAGGGGUAACGUUGAAUAACAAAUGGGGUCGCCUUAAUUAUAAUUUUGAAAAUAAGUAACAACUUUUUUGUUUAAUUACUAACCAAUUUCAAAAUUUAUUUUCAAUGUGGUAGAUUUCUAAAUCAAACAAAAUUAAUACAAGAUAAUUUAUCUUCCAAGAAGGA